GACGAACGCUGGCGGCGUGCUUAACACAUGCAAGUCGAACGGAAAGGCCCUGCUUUUGUGGGGUGCUCGAGUGGCGAACGGGUGAGUAACACGUGAGUAACCUGCCCUUGACUUUGGGAUAACUUCAGGAAACUGGGGCUAAUACCGGAUAGGAGCUCCUGCUGCAUGGUGGGGGUUAGAAAGUUUCGGCGGUUGGGGAUGGACUCGCGGCUUAUCAGCUUGUUGGUGGGGUAGUGGCUUACCAAGGCUUUGACGGGUAGCCGGCCUGAGAGGGUGACCGGCCACAUUGGGACUGAGAUACGGCCCAGACUCCUACGGGAGGCAGCAGUGGGGAAUAUUGCACAAUGGGCGGAAGCCUGAUGCAGCAACGCCGCGUGCGGGAUGACGGCCUUCGGGUUGUAAACCGCUUUCACCUGUGACGAAGCGUGAGUGACGGUAAUGGGUAAAGAAGCACCGGCUAACUACGUG
Molecule: ribosomal RNA, 468 nt
Filed under: uncultured bacterium
Lineage: Bacteria
Description: partial 16S ribosomal RNA
Rfam family: Bacterial small subunit ribosomal RNA
Source: RNAcentral